Molecule: unclassified non-coding RNA, 693 nt
Filed under: Hevea brasiliensis (rubber tree)
Lineage: Eukaryota; Viridiplantae; Streptophyta; Magnoliopsida; Malpighiales; Euphorbiaceae
Source: RNAcentral
CUGAACAACCUCCACAUCUUUAUGAGCAGUUUGCACAGGUUGUGAUGAAGGGACUGUAGCGGGUGCAGACUGCAACAACUGACCUGGGGUUACCAAUGGAUGUGUGGGUGUUUCUGUCCGAAGAGAAUUAGAGGCCACAACCGAAGAUGUAGAUUGUACAGUGCUUUGAUAAGGCAUUGUUGGACCAGAAAUUGAAUUAGGCUUGUUAGAGAUUGGUGGUACAAUGGUAUUUAAUUCUGAGCCUGAAGAAGUCAAAGGAGAGAGUGCUGGUAAGCUGGCAUUUAAAUUUGCUGCCGGAAGUGCAGAACUAGGAGCCUUAGUAGGAAUCAAACUUGGUAAUGUUUCUGAAGCUAAUGUAGCAGAGGGCACCGAAUGUAAAGUUGAAGGCAAGGUAGAUGAUGCUGAAGAAGAGGAUACUAAAUUAAGGGAGCUAGUACCAGCAGAAAGCAAAGGAGAUUGAAUAUCUGGCAAUGAAGCUGGUAAGUUUGAAACUGGCAAGUUUGAAGUCGGUAAGUUUGAAACUGGCAAGUUUGAGGCUCCAGCGGGUAAAGGGGCAUUAUAAUUUGGAUACUGCAUUGGCUGCUGCAUGGAAGGAGGCAUUGACAGCCCAGGUGGUGGUCGAAGCAACGAUUGUUGGUGUAAAUGAGGAAGCCCAUUUGGAGGACCAUAGUAACCUUGCCAAUACAUUGGCAU